GGCCGGUUAGCACAGUCGGUUAAAGCGUCGUGCUUAUACCGCGAAUGUCGUGGGUUCGACCCUCACACUGGCCA
This 74-nucleotide transfer RNA is filed under the name Mercenaria mercenaria. Its description in RNAcentral is "transfer RNA isoleucine (anticodon UAU)". It matches the Rfam family "tRNA". Rfam says of the family: Transfer RNA (tRNA) molecules are approximately 80 nucleotides in length. Lineage: Eukaryota; Metazoa; Mollusca; Bivalvia; Venerida; Veneridae. The record is from RNAcentral.